GUUCAUUCAGUAGCAAUACUGAAGAAGAUCGAGUGGCGAACGGGUGAGUAGCACGUGAGCAACCUACCCCGAAGACCGGGACAACACCGGGAAACCGGUGCUAAUACCGGAUACCCCCACCGAAUCGCAUGGUUUGGUGAGGAAAUGGAUUCCGCUUUGGGAGGGGCUCGCGGCCUAUCAGCUUGUUGGUGAGGUAACGGCUCACCAAGGCUUCGACGGGUAGCUGGUCUGAGAGGACGAUCAGCCACACUGGGACUGAGACACGGCCCAGACUCCUACGGGAGGCAGCAGUGGGGAAUCUUGCACAAUGGGCGAAAGCCUGAUGCAGCAACGCCGCGUGAGGGACGAAGGCUUUCUGAG
This 360-nucleotide ribosomal RNA is filed under the name uncultured bacterium. RNAcentral describes it as "bacterial SSU rRNA". It matches the Rfam family "Bacterial small subunit ribosomal RNA", at positions 69 to 422 of the family's 1533-position model. The record is from RNAcentral.